RNAcentral lists this ribosomal RNA (386 nucleotides) under uncultured prokaryote. Its description in RNAcentral is "bacterial SSU rRNA". It matches the Rfam family "Archaeal small subunit ribosomal RNA", at positions 339 to 725 of the family's 1478-position model. The record is from RNAcentral.
GCGCGAAAACUUUACAAUGCUGGCAACAGCGGUAAGGGAACCUCGAGUGCCAGGUUACAAAUCUGGCUGUCGAGAUGCCUAAAAAGCAUUUCAUAGCAAGGGCCGGGCAAGACCGGUGCCAGCCGCCGCGGUAACACCGGCGGCUCGAGUGGUAACCGUUAUUAUUGGGUCUAAAGGGUCUGUAGCCGGCCGGAUAAUUCUCUUGAGAAAUCUGGCAGCUUAACUGUCAGGCUUUCAGGAGAUACUGUCUGGCUCGAGGCCGGGAGAGGUGAGAGGUACUUCAGGGGUAGGGGUGAAAUCUUGUAAUCCUUGAAGGACCACCAGUGGCGAAGGCGUCUCACCAGAACGGACCUGACGGCAAGGGACGAAAGCUAGGGGCACGAACC